AAAGAAGGUAGGAAGGGAGGGAGGGAGGAAGGAGAGACCAAAACCUGUUUCUUAUUUUCUUACUAGCACCCGUUUAACAGCUGGGAGCUGGGAACACCCCCCAGUCUUGCAUGCCUCAGAGGGGGAGCCAGCAAGACAACCAGAGCACCUUCAACUGAUUUCUUUUGUUUUCUCUUUCAGCCAAUCUCCCCAGCAGGCCACAGGCAAUGUGAAGUAUUCAUCUAGACAGCCAACAUUUCCUGACUUCCAGCAUUGCCAAUUCCAAGUUCCAUCUAAUCAGAAGCUCCGUGGCUCCUUGAAACAUGCUGUUGAGCGCUGACUGUGUGUUCUACUGAAGGAGUAAAACACUGACUAUCCAAAGAGAAAAGGAUAUUUUUGUUUUUAUAAUAAUCAUAUAUUAUUGUUUAUUGUUUCCUUCUUCCCUUUCUAUGCAACUGUAAAUUAAUGAACAGAGUGGUAUUUGGAAAUGGUAAUACAUUUGUCACUGAUUAGUAUACUGUAUACAGCAUUGGGAAAGUGGGUGGGGGCUUUCUAAUAUGAUACCUUCUUUUUAAUAACCAUGACAAAAAUUGCAAGAAUUAGAAAACAAUGUUACAUUUUUACAUUCCUUCAUAUUAACCUUGUACAAUAACUUCAUUUAUUUUUUCCACUCUUUUACCAUUACGUUUUGGUUAUUUAUAACUCAUCAGCCACAUGACCAAAUAGAUUUCCUUGUAUUUGUUUCCAUGAUUUGGCCAAAUUAAUAAGUUCGUACGUUUCAAUCAAAGAUUUAUGUAUAUGAAUUAGGCUACAUCUCUGUGUAUACCGCUUAACUCUACUUGACGACAUACGCUUCGGUUCUUUAGUGACCACUUGGAUAACCACAGGAAAAGUCCUGUGGGGCCUACCUGAAAUUCCCAUUGGGAUUUGUUUCCUGCAUUUUAUUUCCCUGCUCUGUGUAAGUACGUCUUGAUUCCUUUAUUUAUUUCAUGUCCCAAUCUAUAUGCUAGAGGAGACUCCAAGCAGGAUUGUAAGAAUCUCAAAGAUCAUUUCACCAAAGGUUACCCAUUUAAGUCUAUUUUCGUUUUGACAUAGAAACAAAACAUGAGAUAACAUUUCCUUAGUUGCGGAGUCUUGAUUUUCAUCGUUAAAUACACAGCAGACCUUGACUUAAUUGUGCUACCAGGACACAUCUUUGUCUUUAAUCCCCUUUGAGGCGGAUUUUAUUUGUGUUUAUGUAUACUCAAGCCAUUUGUAAUUCUUGAAAUUCCCAGUUGUUUUCUUUCUGACAGCAGACACAAAUUUAAUGCAUGUUUCAUUUUACCUUUUGGGUGAAUGAU
Molecule: long non-coding RNA, 1319 nt
Filed under: Ursus americanus (American black bear)
Lineage: Eukaryota; Metazoa; Chordata; Mammalia; Carnivora; Ursidae
Description: lncRNA (ENSUAMG00000005806.1)
Source: RNAcentral